This 601-nucleotide ribosomal RNA is filed under the name Chaetothyriales sp. AR-2010. RNAcentral's name for it is "eukaryotic LSU rRNA". The stretch from base 198 to 351 matches the Rfam family "5.8S ribosomal RNA". The record is from RNAcentral. Lineage: Eukaryota; Fungi; Ascomycota; Eurotiomycetes; Chaetothyriales.
GGAAGUAAAAGGUCGUAACAAGGUCUCCGUUGGUGAACCAGCGGAGGGAUCAUUAUCGAGUUAUUCAACUCCCAAACCCUAUGUGAACUUACCACUUGUUGCUUCGGCGCGCGCUUCGGCGCCGCCGAGGACACUUAAACUCUUUGUUUUUAUAAGCAUUUCUGAGUGGCCGAAAGGCAAAAAUACAAAUGAAUCAAAACUUUCAACAACGGAUCUCUUGGUUCUGGCAUCGAUGAAGAACGCAGCGAAAUGCGAUAAGUAAUGUGAAUUGCAGAAUUCAGUGAAUCAUCGAAUCUUUGAACGCACAUUGCGCCCGCCAGCAUUCUGGCGGGCAUGCCUGUUCGAGCGUCAUUUCAACCCUCGAGCCCGACUCUUUUGAGGACGGCUCGGCGUCGGGGGACGGCAGACUCCCCCCGGCAUCUCGCCGGGGACGCCGCCCCCGAAAUCUAGUGGCGGCCCUCCGAGGCGACCUCUGCGUAGUAACUUGUUCUCGCACCGGAAAGCUCAGAGCGGCCACGCCGUAAAACCCCAACUUUUUUCAGGUUGACCUCGAAUCAGGUAGGACUACCCGCUGAACUUAAGCAUAUCAAUAAGCGGAGGA